CCUACGGGCGGCAGCAGUAGGGAAUAUUGCUCAAUGGGUGAAACCCUGAAGCAGCAACGCCGCGUGGAUGAUGAAGGUUUUAGGAUUGUAAACUCCUUUUGUUAGAGAGGAUUAUGACGGUAUCUAACGAAUAAGCACCGGCUAACUCCGGGCCAGCAGCCGCGGUAAUACGGAGGGUGCAAGCGUUACUCGGAAUCACUGGGCGUAAAGAGUACGUAGGCGGGGUAAUAAGUCAGAUGUGAAAUCCUGUAGCUUAACUAGAGAACUGCAUCUGAAACUGUUACUCUGGAGUGUGGGAGAGGGAGGUGGAAUUCUAGGUGUAGGGGUAAAAUGCGUAGAGAUCAAGAGGAAUACUCAUUGCGAAGGCGACCUGCUGGAACAAUACUGACGCUGAUGUGCGAAAGCGUGGGGAGCAAACAGGAUUAGAUACCCGAGUAGUC
Molecule: ribosomal RNA, 440 nt
Filed under: uncultured bacterium
Lineage: Bacteria
Description: partial 16S ribosomal RNA
Rfam family: Bacterial small subunit ribosomal RNA
Source: RNAcentral